Non-coding RNA from Phalacrocorax carbo (great cormorant), 6363 nucleotides. Lineage: Eukaryota; Metazoa; Chordata; Aves; Suliformes; Phalacrocoracidae. The record is from RefSeq and is a predicted model, not a curated record.
GGGACGGAGCCCGCCGCGCCCGGAACUAGGCCUUGCCGCGGCGGCGGGAGCGCCCAUGGUGAUGCUGCCGCGAGGGGGCGGUGCCGGGCCGGAGGGGGGCGGAGCGUUGCCAUGUCGGAGGCGGUAGCGGCGGCGGGGAUGGCGGCGGCUGCUAUGGCGGAGGCGCGGCUGCGGCGGAAGCAGCUGUUGAGCGCGGAGGAGACGGAGCUGUUCGAGCUGGCGCAGGCGGCGGGCAGCGGGUUGGACCCGGAGGUGUUCCGGGUGCUGCUGGACCUGCUGCGCAUGAACGUGGCUCCGCUCGCCGUCUUCCAGGUGCUCAAGUCCAUGUGCGCCGGGCAGCGGCUGCCGCCGGGACCCGAGGGCGGCCCCCCCGCCGCGCCGGCGCCGCUCCCCGCCGACACCCGAGAGUCCCCUGAGGACGGCCGGGUGUCCGGCCCGCUCCCCACCGCCUCCGCCCUGCGGCCGCCGCGGCUCGGGAGCCGCCCGCCGUCCUCCCGGGCCUUCCCCGCCGCCGGCCCGCUGCCCCGCCGCCUCCCCGCGCCCCCUGCUGGCCGCCCCUCUCGCUCCGCUGCGGGGAGGGGGCGGCCGGGCCCGAGGAGGGGCUCGGCCGGCCCCCGGGGGGCUCGCUCGGUGUGAGCCUGGGGGAGAGAGCCUGGGCCACCCGCGCCCCCGUCUGCUGCCAGCACCUCCUUUUUUCUUCAUUUUUAUUCUUCUUAGGCAGUGUGGGGGGCCGGGUGUCGCGAGGGGGAGGUCCCUGUGGUCACUUGUGAUAGACUUUGUAGCCCCCUGGCUCUGCUCUCCAAGCCUUUAACAAAAAAAAAAAAAACCCCACAACAAAAAAAACCCACAAAUCCUUAAUACACAGUAUUACACAGUGCUGUUUCACUUGUAUCUAACAAAAAAAAAAGUGAAAUUUCUGGUACAUUAGGAAUGGCUGGGAAAUGAGGGGAGCUGCAAUGCUUCCUCUGCUCCAUCCCCAUGUAUGGUGGUAGCAGUUUCCAUGCCCAGUGGAUGGUAUUUAGGUGAGAAUGUGAAAUGGGAGGCUGUAUGGGAUUUUUGGCUAAAAUAAUGACUGCUUUUAAAUGUCGUUAUCUUUCGUUACUGCUCUAAUCUUAGUGGACAGUAACAAAUGUAGCCCUGAAGCUGUGCCACAUAUAUAUUUUAAAUUUCUUUUUUCUUCCAAACUAGUUCUAAUAAAACUUUUACUUACUCCUCGAACUUCCUGACAUGACUUUUGGCUGGUUGCUCACAACCUACGUGGAUUACUUCCAAAAGUUUUAAAAAGAGGUAACUAAAAUAAGUCCACUGUUAAGCUUGAAUUCACUGUGAAAAGGCACUCGUUUCUCUCGUGCUCAAAAAUAUAGUAGAAAGGGGCAGUGGCCAAAACAGCAAGGUUUUGUGAUCGUUGUCUGUGGUUGCCAAGAACAAAAUUGCACACGAAAAGCUUGGCUUUCUGUGUUCUGCCCUCCCAGUAAUGUGGGUGCGCUUAUUCACCCAGUGGGAGCAUAGAAAUGGCUGAGGUCAAGUCAAAAUUGUGUUGUUGUCUCCUUUUCUCCCUUCCUCUCUCUGUUUCAGGGUGGAAAAUGUUGUAGCUAAUGGGUCUUUGUUGACCCAUGAUGAAUUUUGAGUCAAAACUUGAGAAGUCACUGUCAGCAAGGAUUGUGCUGGGAACACAGAGAAUGGGGCAAGAAAGAAAAGCUUUGUCGACAUAGGUAAUGGGAGCAGGGUGGGGGAAAGUAAGGUUUCCCUGUCGUGGUAGUGUACUAUCACUUAGUCUAGCCUUACUGCUGAGGCUGCCUUGGUGGUACGGAGUGUUGCAUCUCAUGGCUAUGCUUGCAAAUCUGGUGGUAGGUCCUACAGAAAGUGAAGUUGAAAGGCAAGAUUCAUUUGACCUGCUGUAAGCAGUCAGUUUUAGGGUAAGGUUGAUUAUGCCACAAUCUGAGGCACCUUCACAGCAGAGCCUGCUGCUCCUGGUGUGGAUUCCCACAUGGUAAAUGGGUGAGAAUCACUUCAUUUGAGCAGCUGUGGGUGGUUGUGCGGAGACUCUGAGGAAGUUUGCUAAAGCCCAAAUGGGAUUAGAGUGUGCAGAUAAAGUGGCCGGAACUCCAUGGGCUUCACUGUGAACAGGUUCCUCUUUCUCAAGAGAUGCUGUUGAUUAAGAAUUUCCUGCAGAGAAGUUGGUUGCGGUAAAGAGAACAGCUUUACCUGUGAUUGAGAAGUGACUCUAAAGAUGCACAGGGGAAAAAGAAGAUACCCAGCUGACUGCUUUUUCCUGAGCAAAAUGAGAGAGGUGUGAUGGGCCACUCAAACUAUGAUGGAAUCUUGGAGCUGCUGCGGGAAAGGGGAACCAAAGCUGUAUCUGCUGUUGGCUCUGCUAUCUGUUGUUGGAAGAUGCUGCUUCCGUUUAAGAGGAGGAUGGUGCGGCGUCCAUGCAGGAACAGGCAUUUGGAGAUGGGAGAUCCUUCCUCUGCACAGCUGGGACUUGUGUCUGCUGAUAAAGCCAGAGCUCCUCAUGCUGAUACAAAGAACAGUGAUUGUCCUAUAUAAGCUUGCCAAGCUGCUUUGCUCUGUGUCCUUCAGCUCUGCGUAUCUGCUUUUUCUCCUGUGCUUCCUCCUUUGUCAGAAGACAGACAAGUGGCUGAAGUAAUCCAGGUCUCACUGAAGAUUGACCAAGACUGCUCUGAGUUUUAUUGGUAACAAUGAGAUAGUGGCUUAGGCUUCUCAGCCCAUCAUGGUGCAGGGAGGUUUUUUAAAGCAGAUUAAAAAAGAUAGUUAUAGUGUUUCUGAACACUGUGGGCAGGGGUUGUGGGCAGAGGUGUGGUGUGUGUACCCCUGGUAGUUAUUUCAGCCUUUUUACAGCUAGAGAAACAGGGAGUCUAAUAUGAAUGACUUUAUUUUGCAUUUUCCCAUAGAAUAUAGCCAUGGUGUUCUUCAUGGAGCUGUGUUUGCUGGUAACUGAAUUUGUGAUAGCUGGCUCAGAAUUACUGUGUUUGAGUGUUGGAGCAUUUGUCUGGCAUAUUUAGCUAGACACAACUUCAUGCAAGUUAUUGAGAUGAUUCCUCAAGUUAUUCAUUUGGGAGGAAAAGAGCUGAUUUUAAAGACAGAGGAUAUCUGUGCAAUUUCUUUCUAUGUGUGUAAGGAGGAGAUGCGCAUAUCUGUUAGAACAGUGGUAUUGGUUUUGGCCUAUAAUAGGUAUGUGUAUAGUUUAUCUUUGUGUAUUUUAAUAUGCCUUUUUCUUAUGUAUUAUUCCCAUGUUUUCUGUUCCCAUCAGCCAACCCUCAAGCAGCUGGUGGUUUCCCUGUAGUUUUCUACCUCUCCAUUGACAUGCAUGUGUCAAUGCCCUGCUCUUCUUUUUUUCUAGGUUGAUUAAUAUUCUUUGAUACCUCUCUCACUCUUUGCAUUCCAACUUGUUUUUCCACAUUCCCCACUUUCCCAGCCCAAGUGUCUUUCAUAAAGUUACUUCCUAGAGCUUUGCCCCACCUACUAAAUGCAUUGUUAACAUGAGCAUGCUUUUCAAAAUCUUGUCUCCAUUGUGGACCUAUCACCUGGUUUAUGGAUUUUAAGGCUCCAAGGAACCAUUGCAGCCUCCUAUCUUGUAUCGCAGGGGGCAGAAUGCUUUCCUACCCCAUGAAACUCUGUUGCACUUAGGCACUGGUUGGAAAUCCCACUGAGCCCACCACCAGUCAUGGGUUUGGUGAAAGGUUCAGGGGGUGUUUUCCAUGUCUGCAUGGAAAAAUAUGCUUUUGAGAAUCAUAAGUUCCUUUUCUGCCCAUGAAUUUGUAACUACCUUCUUCCUGGGUAAAAACUUAGAUACGAUGAAGGUCCCUUCUAAGUCCUGCUGUUUAAUUACUUCCUAAAUAUCCCCCCCUACUGUGCGUCUUGUUGCCAACUUUGUCCUCCCCUAUGUCUUCCUCUUGCCAUCCUUGUGUUUUGUAGCAUUCCCUAGUUAUCUGUUUUUCUCACUUAUUUCUUGCACUGUCUGGGUUGUCUGUCUUUGCGGACACCCUUUUGGGAUGAUGACUGUUGCUGCAAGGACCCACAGUGACUGGUAUUCCUCUUGGGUACUGCUGGCUGGCUAUGUUGCUGCUUUGCACUUCUCUUACACUCACCCUUGACUUACUCAACCUCACAUUAUCUCAGUGUUCAUCUGGUUGCAGGAUUUGUAAUGCAGUCUUCUAUAUUAAGGAGAUGAGGUAGCUGACCAGGAUGAUGCUAUGUGGAGCUUGGGUGUGUUGCAGGGAAUCCCCCCAGAGAUGCUAAGAAUUUCUCUUAAGUGUAUUUAAUCUGUUUUACAGUGAAUUUUCCUGUUGGUUAUACUGGCUAUCAUGCCUUAAUUGUAGAUUAAAUAUAUCCAUGGGAUCUAACUGACAGCAAUGCAAAUUGUGCCAUGCACCAGUAAAUGUUGUACUUUGACACUUCAUGGUCUGUAUGUCUUCCCUGGGGGGAAAAAAAAAUAAAAAUCUGUGGAGUGAUCUAUAGAUGACUUACAUAACUGAUCAAAGUACUAAUACAAUCCUGAUCAUGGUUUUUUUUUAAUGUAGUUGCUUCACGCAUACCCAGUUUAUUUUUUUAGUACUUCAUCAACACCACUCCAAUAAGUUGGUUUCCUAAAUUCAGUAAGGAGCAGUUAGAUUGCCUUCCAGAUCUCUGUCCUGCACCUAUCAUUCCCUCUAACUUUCUGCCAUAAGCAGUAGAGUUCAAGCCUUUUGAAUUAGAGGCCUUUAUUCUUGUUUUGUGAAAUGAUGGACAUGGUAAUUACACAGGGCAAGAAGUUUUAUGUUCAGAGCAUUCCUGAUGUGGAGUUGUUGCUUUCCUUCCCCCUUCCCACCAGUUUCCCAUCCCAAAAUGCUUUUUUUUUAAAUUUUAACUUUUCUGUAUUGUAGGCAUUUUAGUCCAUCAGCAACUGAAUAGUUUCAAUUUAUAGGCCUUGUUCACCUUGUGGUACAGAAAUUAUGAUAAAGUAUUUCUGGAUUGCAGGUGCCGAUGUCAGCUAUUUUACAAGGAAUUUGCAUUUCUCAGCUGUACUGUGCUUUCUUGGAUGGUUGAAAGUCCCUUGGUUGAAAGUUCCAGCUCCUUUUCUCUCCCAGGAGUUUAUAAUAAAUUUCAAUACUCUCAAAAAUACAGGUGAUGGGUAGUGAAGUGGUUUUUUCUACUUCAGCAGAAACAGUGGACAAACAGCUUUUAUUUCUUUUUCCUUAUCCCAGGAAUAACUUGCAAAAAGUCCAGGUUGGAAUGCUAAAAACUUGAUGUGGAGGUGGUCUCCAAAGAAUAGGUGGCUUCAUUGUUCCCAUGAAAAUGUAUUUUGCUCUGGGUAAUGUACUUUGAAAACUGAAGUUGAAACAUACUUGUUAUUUUAUGGAAUGUUUACCUUCUGAAUGAGGAAAAAGCCGUACUUUAUGCUGUGAUGCAUCCUGCAGUACUGUCUUUUGGGAAGGAAUCUAUUUAAGACUUCCUCUUGUCAGAGUAACUUUUUUAAGGGGAAAAAAUGUAUUAUCUGAAAGGCGUAUGCUUCUUCCAUAGUCGUCUUAUUUUCAGUGUGCUAUGUUCUUUGCAGUACUGUGCAUAUGGUGGGAACCUGUUGCAAACUUGCCAGAUUAUUUAGCUACCAGUAUGUGGCUGUGUCCGUAGGAGAAGCUGGUGGCUUUUGAACAGGCCACAGUUCUAGAGGAAAACACUGCAUGCAGAUGUAUUCCCUGAAGGUACUGGGAUCCCUUCAGUAGCCUGGGUGGUUCUGUGCAAUGUUUUUAUAUAUACUGUAGGUGUGAUGGAUGUGGAUGGGCAAGUUAAUGCGGAUGGAUGGCUAAAACCAGGACUUGGGUGGAUUUGGCAGCGCUGUCACAGUGAGCAGAUAGCAGAGAGGACUGAUCUAUGGCCAGCCUAGGUCUCUCUCCGGUCACACUUUCCCUGCAGAAGGCUUGCACGUUUACCUGAGGCUGUGAGGUGGCUUCUCUGCUGGGUAGUUGAGCUAAACACUGCUCUAGGAUCAUUUUUUUCGUAUGUCUUUUCAGGGUGAUUGUGCUGGUUUUGGCUGAGAAGGGGUUAAUUCUCUUCACUGUGGGGGGUCGGGUACCUUUCCAGCUUCCCGCGCUCUGGCUGGGAGGGGCGGGGCCACGGCGGGGGCGGCUGACCCCAACUGGCCAAUGGCAGGUUCAAUCCAUACCACAUGACGCCAGGACCAGUAUCCUGAGGGGGGGCAGUUGCGGCUCGGGGGGGCGGGUCGGCGGGCGGCUGCGGCGCGUGCGGUUUGUUUCGGCGGUUCGUUCCCCUCCCCCCCUUCCAACCCCCCGGGUUUCGCGCCUCUUAUUGUUUUCCUUUCCAUUGACUUUUUUUUAAAAUUUUAAUUAUUAAACUAUUCUUAACCCA